GGAAUAUAAGAACCCGUUUCUGAAUUUUUAACUAAAAAAAUUAAGAAUUGGUUCUUAAAUAAGAGUUUUAAAAACCAGUUUUUAAUUUUUUUAGUUAAAAGUUAAGAGACGAGUUCUUAUAUUCC
Molecule: non-coding RNA, 125 nt
Organism: Brassica napus (rape)
Lineage: Eukaryota; Viridiplantae; Streptophyta; Magnoliopsida; Brassicales; Brassicaceae
Source: Rfam